UACGUAGGGGGCAAGCGUUGUCCGGAUUUAUUGGGCGUAAAGAGCGUGUAGGCGGCUUCACAGGUCCGCUGUGAAAACUCGAGGCUCAACCUCGAGACGCCGAUGGAAACCAUCAGACUAGAGUCCGGAAGAGGAGAGUGGAAUUCCUGGUGUAGCGGUGAAAUGCGCAGAUAUCAGGAAGAACACCCGUGGCUAAGGCGGUUCUCUAGUACGGUACUGACGCUGAGACGCGAAAGCGUGGGGAGCGAACAGG
Molecule: ribosomal RNA, 253 nt
Filed under: uncultured bacterium
Lineage: Bacteria
Description: partial 16S ribosomal RNA
Rfam family: Bacterial small subunit ribosomal RNA
Source: RNAcentral